RNAcentral lists this unclassified non-coding RNA (391 nucleotides) under soil metagenome. RNAcentral's name for it is "partial contains 5.8S ribosomal RNA, internal transcribed spacer 2, and large subunit ribosomal RNA". The stretch from base 1 to 122 matches the Rfam family "5.8S ribosomal RNA", at positions 35 to 154 of the family's 154-position model. The record is from RNAcentral.
GAUGAAGAACGUAGCGAAAUGCGAUACUUGGUGUGAAUUGCAGAAUCCCGUGAACCAUCGAGUCUUUGAACGCAAGUUGCGCCCGAAGCCAUUAGGCCGAGGGCACGCCUGCCUGGGCGUCACACGUCGUUGCCCCCCCAUCUACUCCUUCGGGAUUGCGGGGGGCGGAUGAUGGCCUCCCGUGCGCCUCGUCGCGCGGUUGGCAUAAAUGCCAAGUCCUCGGCGACACACGCCACGACAAUCGGUGGUUGCGAAACCUCGGUUGCCCGUCGUGUGCGGUCGUCGCGCAUCGAGGGCUCGAAAAAAUUGCCGGGCUCCGGCUCGGCUUUCAACGCGACCCCAGGUCAGGCGGGGUUACCCGCUGAAUAUAAGCAUAUCAAUAAGCGGAGGA